This 253-nucleotide ribosomal RNA is filed under the name uncultured bacterium. RNAcentral describes it as "partial 16S ribosomal RNA". It matches the Rfam family "Bacterial small subunit ribosomal RNA", at positions 524 to 776 of the family's 1533-position model. The record is from RNAcentral.
UACGGAGGGAGCUAGCGUUGUUCGGAAUUACUGGGCGUAAAGCGCACGUAGGCGGCUAUUCAAGUCGGGGGUAAAAGCCCGGGGCUCAACCCCGGAACAGCCCUCGAAACUAGAUAGCUAGAAUCUUGGAGAGGCGAGUGGAAUUCCGAGUGUAGAGGUGAAAUUCGUAGAUAUUCGGAAGAACACCAGUGGCGAAGGCGACUCGCUGGACAAGUAUUGACGCUGAGGUGCGAAAGCGUGGGGAGCAAACAGG